This 41520-nucleotide long non-coding RNA is filed under the name Brachypodium distachyon (stiff brome). RNAcentral's name for it is "long non-coding RNA (BDIS_LNC004779)". Lineage: Eukaryota; Viridiplantae; Streptophyta; Magnoliopsida; Poales; Poaceae. The record is from RNAcentral.
AAGAUCUCAUCGGUUGAACCACUAUGUCGAGGAUUCAAUUAAUCCAGUAUCCAAUUCUCUUUGUCUCGCGAUAUAUUACUUGCCCGAGAUUUGAUCGUCGGUAUCGCCAUACCUAGUUUAAUCUCGUUACCGGCAAGUUCUCUUUACUCGUUCCGUAAUAUAAUACCCCCGCGACUAAACACAUUAGUCGCAUGCUUGCAAGCUCAUUAGGAUGUUAUAUUACCGAGAGGGCCCAGAGAUAUCUCUCCGUCACAAGGAGUGACAAAUCCCAGUCUUGAUCCAUACAACCCAACAAGCACCUUCUGGGAUACCUGAAAAACACCUUUAUGAUCACCCAGUUACGAGAUGACGGUUGAUGCCCACAAAGUAUUCUUCCGGUACUAGGGAGUGGCAUGAUCUCAUGGUCUAAAUAAAUAAUACUUGACAUAAUAAAACAUAAGCAACUUAAACUUAAGUGACACGAUCAAAAGCUAUGUUUAGGUUUGGGUCUGUCCAUCACAUCAUUCUCCUACUGAUAUGAUCUCGUUAUUAAAUGACAACACAUGUCUAUGGUUAGGAAAUCUUAACCAUCUUUAAUCAACGAGCUAAUCUAGUAGAGGCGUAUUAGGGACACGGUAUUUGUUUAUUUAUCCACACAUGUAUUUGAGUUUCCAAUCAAUACAAUUAUAGCAUGGGCAAUAAACAUUUAUCAAGAACAAUGAAAUAUGAUAAUAACAAAUUUAUUAUUGUCUCUAGGGCAUAUUUCCAACACACCCCCCCCCCCCCCCGGCGGCCCUCCGCUCCGUGGCGAGGCGUGGCGGCACGAGCAGAUCCCACCCCGGCGGGCGGCGGCAGCCCUCUGCUCUGUGCCGCGGCCUGGUUCCCGCCCUCGCAAAAAAAAUUCCCUCGCUCCGUGACCUCCGUCCCUCGCCCCGCGUUCUCUAUUUCUCUGCCGAAGUCAAGCGGUCGUGGGUUUGUUUUUGCCUGACCGCUGGAUCUAAAUUGGACGUCAGAUCACAGGGAUAGAGGCGCUUGGGACGUACACGAGUAACUUCACCGAAGCAGGCAGUGAAAUACUGAAAUUAGAGAAGGAUCUCGAUAGAGUGCGUACCAGUGCCUACACGCAUGCCCACACAAGUACUCUUACAACCCUGCAGUCGCUGCCGUGUAACGAUCAGGGAGACAGUGAUGUACGGCGUACCACAACAUAAUUCGUUUAAUUAAUACGUACGUCUGACCGGCCGGACCACAAGCUCGUGGUGACUUGUCAACUGGAGUAUAUCGUCGAUCUAAACUCUAAAGUGUCUCGAUCAGUACCUGCGUUAUUUUCUCAGUCCCGGGUUACAGUAAUCUUGCAUGCAUUUGCGCGCCACAAGGAUGCCUGCGAUCGAGCUCUAAAUGCAUUGAUAUGGUAUAUGUGGAAUGGACCGCAUGGAAAACCCGUACCAGCCAAGCCACCAGCUGAGCUACAGCUUGUUUUUCAGUUGAGACAAAUUAACGCGAUCGCAGGCGGCAUGAUCAGCGCUUAAACUCGAAUUUGGAUACAGUCCAGCCAAGCCGUCCGUAGGUUUAUCUCAUUUGGGAUGCGGAAGCUUAAGUGAUGUGCAGUACGUACGAUACCUCCACACACACACACAAAAAAAAAAACAGACGUGUUGGACCGAUUGAUCAUCCAUGUCCACAGAAACAACAAAGAUCCAGCGGCAGUGCAUGCGUACGUUCGCACCAAGUAUCUCAGUACGUGCAAUCGUGCACGCAUGCACUAGUAGUAUUAUAUUCGAUCUCCUGCCCGGUAAUCAAAGAGUACGUACAGAUGUACGGUAAUCGAACUCUUUAAUGCCUGCGAGCACACACCGAUAUAGUAGAAAAUAGUAUCUUGCUAUAUACUCGAUCUUGCACACACCGUUUGAGUACAGUGUGGAUCGGAAUGGACCGUACAAGAAGCCACCAGCUUGUUUCUUUCUUUUUUUUUGAAGGAACACCAGCUUGUUUCUGAUUUGGGAAGAACGCGUGUGAUCAACACUGGAAUUUAAAAAGAUUCCAGUCUGUAGGUAAACAAACGGAGGGCUCAUAGCCCCUUAAUUUGUUCCUUAAAUUAAAACUUUUGACUAAGCCUUUGAACCAUAAUUAGUCUAUUAAAAUAUAAUUUUUUGAAAUAAAAUUGAUGCUAUUGUAUUCAUAUUUAAGAGUACUUGUUCAUAGUUAUGAUUUGUAUCUUAUAAGUCACACGUCGAUGGAGUAAUACUUGAUCAAACAUUCGGUCAAAGAAAACAAUAUACGUCUUAAUUUAAGGAACGGAGAUCUUAGCCGAAGAGUUUUAAGUCAAACAGCAGCUUGAAUUAUGACGGUCCCAAACGUGUUCUAGCUCAGGGAAAAUGAGAGAGAGGACCAGCCUGUUUUGAGUGGCAGGACUGAGCUAAAAGAUGGGGAAUAAAAGAUCAUUAUCUCUAACACUGUGUUUGGAUGUAUAAGGCCUGAUAUUAGACAUUGGUAUUGGACAAGUACCGAGUACUAUGAUUUGGGUUGUUUGGCUGGUCCAAGUAUUCGAUCCACACAUGGCACAAUUCCGAUGGGUAAGCCUCGACAUCCCUGGGUAUUCGGAACUUUCGGAACUGCUCGACAACACCCGCGUUCAACCCUCGCUCGAAGCAAUUUUCCCUUUUUCCCUGCCUUUUCCGUCCCUCUUCUAGCUCCCGCGCGAGGUUCAAGGCUUCCAGCGGCUGCGGCCCGAGCAGGCAGCAGCAGGGCCCUUCCUCCCUCCUCCUCCUCCUACGGCACCGGCGGUCUUCUCCCGCGACGCCGCAGCCCCGCACCAGACCACCUUGCCCUCCCUUCCCAUCUCUCUCCUCCGCGACCGCCCGUCCCCGCCGCCGCGCCCUCCUCGUCGGCUCGUCGCUCCCGAAGAAGAAGAGGACCGUGCGUACUGCGUAGGUACGGUGGUGCCGCACCAUCUGGAGCGGCGUGCGGCCUAAGGAGCAGCUCCGCCUUCCUCCGACUGGGCACGGCGCCGGCGGCCUCCCGCCCCUCCCUUCCGGCGUUCACCCUCUCAUCUCCCUUCUCUCUGCAGGUUUGCGGGCCAUCUCGACCAAGCUCCUGCCUCCGGCGCAGGUCCUGUUGGAGAUAUGCCCUAGAGGCAACCAUGUGAUGAUGUUAUUUCCUAUGUAUUCAUGAGUUAUUUGUCCUUGAACAUCAUCACUGAUAUGUAUCAAUAAAUACGUGAUUUGUUUGUGAAACUAUGUAUUCUAUGAUGUUGUUCUAAUGGUCCCUGGUCAUUGAGGUUAUGCGGACACAUAACCUAGACUAGCAAUGUGAAUCAGUGUGAUGACUAUGUUUCACAAGUCAUAGCGCAAGGUGUUGCCGACUGAUAGCAUGGACUCGACAAUGAGAUUGUUGAGUCGGACAGACCCGCACUGAGACACAACGAGAUGAUUGUCAUUUGUUAGUCUCAAGUACGAUGUAUAUGCCAGUCCUAGACCUGAGGUCAUCGUAUGAGCUUGGGAUGUGAAUCGGCCUACUUAGGGGUUGCCAAACGCUACUCCGUAACUGGGUGGUUAUAAAGGUAGCUUUCGGGUUCGCUGAGAAGCAUGCUGCGAGUCAUGGUUGAUCAAGAUAGGAUUUGCCCCUCCUGUUCGGAGAGAUAUCUCUGGGCCCUCUCGAGUGAUCAGAUUCGGAAAGCAUGGCCAUGCGACUUGGGUUAAGUGUUAACCCGUUCGGGAAUCUGUAUCACAGGAACGAGAAGAGACUCGAGCUAUCCACAAGGAUGACACGCACUCGCCUUGAGCUCGACACACAUAUCGCGAGGCAAAAGGAAUGUUGCAUAUGACACAUUGUAUGGUUCGUCAAUAUACCUUGUGGUUACUCGGGAGUUGGCACGUGCUGCUAGGCGCCGCUACCAACUAUCGACUUGAGUCGGUGCCAGUGGACGAGCAAGGUGUUACUCGGGCCCGCAGUCCGAGCUCGUAGUCAUGGCCGACUGACCGCGAACCUGAAGGGUCACACGCUUAAGGGGUGGGAACCGAGUUGGAUCGAUCCAACUCGUAUCGGGCUUGGACUCCUAAUGGGCCUCAAGUGUUGAGCCCACUAGGGACGUCUAUAUAAGUGGAGGAGACCAACCCGUCUAGGGUUAACUCCAGUUCAGACGCGAGUUAGACUCGGCCGUCGCACCUCCACGCCCAAAGCCUUGCGAUCGGAUCUAGCAGUCCGCCGCACGGAGUUCCUCCCUGUACGUGUGGAUACCUCGGAGGCGCUGCACCUGCGGCGCUUGGACGAACUGUUCGUGGGAUCGGCGAGGAGGAGCAGGCUGUUCGACUACUCGGCAUCGACGCGCUACAUCGACUCUACUUCCGCUACAGGUCUGCGCGUCUAGUGGUAAUCUCGUGAUCCAUUAUCUACAGCAUUGAUCCGGGCGGAAGCGGUAGAAAAUUUUAUUUUGUGCUAGCGUAGCAUACCGCGUUCCCCAACAGUGGUAUCAGAGCCGAUGCUGUCUGUUUUGGAUUCGAAUUGCGUGCAUAAGUGUUAUGCGGUUAGUAGUAGAUGUGAUCUAUUGCUAUCUUGGUGGUCGAUCUAAGUGUUAGAUCGGUUUUGUACUCAAUCGAUUGGAUCGAUUGUACUCGGGGAUCAUGGAUAUUCGAUUCUGAUAAUCGUGAUGUAGAAGGUCGUGACACAACAUACUCCUACCGGUCGGAUUUCCGCCAUCGGAGUAGACAGUGAAACAUAAAUCCGGAUACAAUUCAUGAGAUCAAUGCGAUUGAUCGAAUCGGAAUAGAAAUCCAUGAAGGAAAUUUCGGAUUGGAUCGGGGGACCGCCGUGCUAUCUAUUCGUAGCGCCUUAGUUGUCGUUGCGAGUUCACAUCAAUUCGGUAGAAUAGGUUUGUACGCUUAACUUGUUUUUGCAGGAUUGAUGUGAAUAGUAUGGCUCAUAUGUAUGUGAUACAUGUGUGUAAUAUUUGCAUGACCUGCGUGUCAUGAGUUUGUCAGCCAGGCUGGAGCCAAGGUGCUGUCUUUAUAAUUGUAUAACGACCUGCGUGUCGACAUUUGAUGUCAUUCUCCAUGUAAAUUCUUUGCUAGAUACUAGGUGUAGUCAUUUAGUAUGAAUUGGAGGACGUGAGCACCAUGGCGGCUUGAUGAACAGGUUCAUGGAGAUGGAGAUCACCAUGAAGAACAGAGCCAUACUAUUUCACAUGUUAAUUUGAUUAUCUGUGAUGGUUAUUGCUUUGUUUACUCCUAUGCAUGUUAUUGUGUUAGAGUAGAAUGAUCCCUCAAAGAAUGUCAAGUUUAUUUACCUCCCCAAUAGCUGCAACACCACAAGACAAGUACAUUUGGUGAUGGGCUCAUGAAAUUGGGGUAUCACCAUUUUUCCUUGUCGUUGGUGAUGUUCGUGUCGGACACUUACAUGCGAAGCUUUGGUUAACUUGACGGGGCUAUCAAAACGGUUUUGGGCCUCGAGGUGAAAGGAGUCGGAGCCGGGGCAAGUGUUGCCUACCGACUAACAAGAGUCGUAUAGAGAUACGAUUGGCAAGAGUUGCCUACCGAGUGAUUCAAUCGGCUAGCAGUGAUGCUAAAGCUCACUAGACGAUUGGUUGAUCUUGGAUCUUGAAUCACUAAUGAUCAAUGGAGGGAUGUUGAUUUUAGUGGGAGUAUAUUUCUAUUAAAUUGUUUAAUAUGAAUUACUCUUCAUGAAUACUUGUCUUAGUGUUUUUGCAUUUUCUGUUGUAGAUCAAUGGCACCACCUCAAUUGUCCAGUUUUGCUUUGAGAUCUGUUCUUGAGAAAGAUAAACUAAAUGGAACUAACUUCACCAACUGGUAUCGGAACCUGAGAAUCGUUCUCAGGCACGAUAAGAAAGAAAGAAAGAACAUGUCAUAGAGAACCCACUUCCAGAGGAGCCGGCUGAUAAUGCCACUGCUGCUGUUAGAAACGCCUAUCAACGCUCAUGUGAUGAGUCGAUUGAGAUCAGCUGUCUGAUGCUUGCCUAUAUGGAGCCCGAACUGCAGCAGCAGUUUGAGAAUGUUGAGGCUUUCGAUAUGAUCGAGACUCUCAAAGGCAUGUUUCAGACUCAGGCUAGGACCGAAAGAUUUAAUGUCUAAAGGUCCUUCCUGGAGACUAAGCUGAAAGAAGGCGAACCCUUGAGCCCACAUGUAAUCAAGUUGGUUGGUUACACGCAAAGCUUGGAGAAGCUGGGCUUUCCGCUGAGCCAAGAGUUGGCCACGGAUACAAUUCUGGCAUCUCUUCCGCCAAGCUAUGCGCAGUUCGUUCAGAACUACCAUAUGCAUGGCAUGGAAAAGAAAGUCACUGAAUUGCAUGGGAUGCUUAAAACAGCAGAGGAGGAUAUCAAGAAAAAUACCAAGCAAGUGUUGCUGGUACAGGGAAAGCCAAAGUUCAAGAAAAAUUCUUGGGCUAAGAAGAAGGCAAAGAAGGGAAAGGCUAAGGAUGUGAUCCCGACCCCUGCCCCUGCUGCGCCUAAGGCUGGACCGGACUCAGAGACCGUAUGCUUUUUCUGCAAAGGCACCGGUCAUUGGAAGAGGAACUGCAGCAAGUACCAGGCCCACGUGGCAAAGAAGGGUGGAAGUGUGACUUCUACUUCAGGUACGGUUGUUGUAUAUGUUAUAGACAUUUAUCUUGCUGAUGCACCUAACAGCUCUUGGGUAUUGGAUACCGGAUCGGUUGUUCACAUUUGCAACUCGAUGCAGGGGCUGGCAAGGACUAGGAGCGUCGCAAGUGGAGAGGUUGACAUAAGGGUUGGCAAUAAAGCAAGAGUUGCAGCGUUGCCCGCCGGGACUAUGCAACUUCAUUUACCUUCUGGAUUUGUUAUGGAAUUAGAUAAUUGUUAUUAUGUUCCUGCUUUAAGUCGAAACAUUAUAUCUGUCUCAAAGUUGUUGAGUCACGGUUAUGAAUUCAAUAUUAAGGGCAAUGGUUGUUCUUUUUAUUUGAAGGAUAUGUUUUACGGCUUUGCACCUGUUGCGAACGGGUUAUUCAUCCUUAGUCUUGAAGGAGAAUCUGUCUAUAACAUUAAUGUCAAGAGGCGCAAGCCUAACGAUCUGAAUCAAACCUAUUUUUGGCAUUGUCGUUUGGGUCACAUAAGUGACAAACGCAUGAAGAAGCUCCAUGGAGAUGGACUUUUAACAUCGUUUGAUUAUGAAUCAUUCGAGACAUGCGAGUCUUGUCUACUAGGCAAGAUGACCAAAUCGCCUUUUGCAAAGAGUUGCGAGAGGGCGACCGACUUGUUGGAACUCAUACAUACUGAUGUGUGUGGACCAAUGAGCACGACAGCUAGAGGAGGUUAUCAAUACUUCAUAACAUUCACUGAUGAUUUGAGUAGAUAUGGAUAUGUCUACUUAAUGAAACAUAAGUCGGAAACCUUUGAAAAGUUCAAGGAGUUCCAGAAUGAAGUAGAGAACCAACGUGGCAAGAAAAUAAAACUUCUACGAUCUGAUCGUGGAGGCGAGUACUUGAGUCACGAGUUCGACGAUCAUCUGAAGAGUUGUGGAAUUGUUCCACAGCUCACACCGCCGGGUACACCACAAAGAAAUGGUGUGUCGGAAAGGCGGAACCGGACCUUGUUGGACAUGGUUCGGUCGAUGAUGAGUCAGUCAGAUCUUCCCUUGUCAUUUUGGGGUUAUGCUCUAGAAACCGCAGCGUUCACACUAAACAGAGUACCAUCCAAGUCCGUAGAUAAGACACCAUAUGAGAUAUGGACUGGAAAGCGUCCCAGUUUGUCUUUUCUAAAGAUUUGGGGCUGUGAUGCAUUUGUCAAACGACUUCAGUCGGACAAGCUCACUCCCAAAUCAGACAAGUGCAUAUUCGUGGGAUAUCCAAGGGAAACCUUAGGAUAUUACUUCUACAACCGGGCAGAGGGCAAAGUGUUUGUCGCUCGAAACGGUGUCUUCCUUGAGAAAGAGUUUCUCAGUCGGGAGGCAAGUGGGAGGUCAGUGCAACUCGAAGAAGUUCGAGAUGAGCCAGUAGGGGAUAACUUGACAGGUGAUGUCAGUGUGACUGAGCCAGUCGUCGUACCCACGGCCAAUACAGCACCGUAUCCACGAAGGUCGGAAAGACUAUGUAAUAUACGCAAUGUGUUGUUGCUAGACAAUGACGAGCCGACUAAUUAUGCAGAAGCGAUGGUGGGUCCAGAGUCCGAGUUAUGGCUUGAGGCCAUGAGAUCCGAAUUAAAGUCCAUGGAUGAAAACCGAGUUUGGAACUUGGUAGAUCCGCCAGAGGGUGUAAAAACCAUUGAGUGCAAAUGGAUAUUUAAAAGAAAAACUGAUAUGGAUGGAAAUGUUCAAAUCCAUAAAGCUCGACUUGUCGCAAAGGGUUUUCGACAAGUUCAAGGAGUUGACUACGACGAGACUUUCUCGCCGGUAGCGAUGCUUAAAUCAGUUCGGAUCAUUCUAGCUAUUGCUGCAUAUUUCGAUUACGAGAUAUGGCAAAUGGAUGUCAAAACGGCUUUCCUUAACGGAAAUUUAACCGAGGACGUGUAUAUGAUACAGCCCGAGGGUUUUGUCGAUCCAAAGAAUGCUGGAAAAAUAUGCAAACUUCAGAAAUCCAUCUAUGGAUUGAAGCAAGCAUCUCGGAGCUGGAACAUUCGUUUUGAUGAAGUAGUCAAAGGGUUUGGCUUCAUCAAAAAUGAAGAAGAACCUUGUGUAUACAAGAAGUUUAGUGCAAACUCAGUCGUAUUUCUAAUCUUAUAUGUGGAUGACAUAUUAUUGAUUGGAAAUGACAUUCCGAUGCUAGAAGCCGCCAAGGACUCAUUGAAGAAAAGUUUUUCAAUGAAGGACUUGGGAGAAGCGGCUUAUAUUUUGGGAAUCAGGAUCUAUAGAGAUAGAUCAAGGAGGCUUAUUGGUUUAAGCCAGAGUACAUAUGUUGACAAAGUGUUGAAGAGGUUCAACAUGAAUGACGCAAAGAAAGGGUUCUUGCCCAUGUCGCAUGGUAUAAGUCUAAGCAAGACUCAGAGUCCUUCGACUUCUGAUGAGCGAAGUCGGAUGAGUGCGAUUCCGUAUGCUUCGGCGGUCGGAUCCAUCAUGUACGCCAUGUUAUGUACUCGACCGGAUGUUUCCUAUGCUCUAAGUGUUACGAGCAGGUAUCAGGCUGACCCCGGUGAGAGUCACUGGACAGCGGUGAAGAAUAUCCUUAAGUACUUGAGAAGGACUAAGGAUAUGUUUUUGGUUUACGGUGGUGAGGAUGAGCUCGUUGUAAAGGGUUACACCGAUGCUAGUUUCCAAACCGACAAGGACGAUUAUCGAUCACAAUCUGGAUACGUGUUCGUCUUGAACGGAGGUGCGGUGAGCUGGAAGAGCUCUAAGCAAGAAACGGUGGCCGACUCUACAACAGAAGCUGAGUAUAUCGCGGCUUCGGAAGCCGCGAAAGAAGGCGUUUGGAUCAGAAAGUUUGUUUCUGAGCUUGGAGUGGUUCAGGGCGCGUCCAAUCCCAUGGACCUCUACUGUGACAACAGUGGUGCUAUCGCACAAGCCAAAGAACCACGACAUCACCAAAAAUCCAAACACAUACUCAGGCGUUACCAUCUCAUACGGGAAUUCGUGGAGAGAGGUGACGUUAAGAUAUGCAAGGUACACACGGAUCUCAAUAUUGCCGAUCCGUUGACAAAGCCUCUCCCGCAACCAAAGCAUGAGGCGCACACACGAGCCAUGGAUAUGCGAUACUUGGAUGAUCGACUCUAGUGCAAGUGGGAGACUGUUGGAGAUAUGCCCUAGAGGCAAUCAUGUGAUGAUGUUAUUUCCUAUGUAUUCAUGAGUUAUUUGUCCUUGAACAUCAUCACUGAUAUGUAUCAAUAAAUACGUGAUUUGUUUGUGAAACUAUGUAUUCUAUGAUGUUGUUCUAAUGGUCCCUGGUCAUUGAGGUUAUGCGGACACAUAACCUAGACUAGCAAUGUGAAUCAGUGUGAUGACUAUGUUUCACAAGUCAUAGCGCAAGGUGUUGCCGACUGAUAGCAUGGACUCGACAAUGAGAUUGUUGAGUCGGACAGACCCGCACUGAGACACAACGAGAUGAUUGUCAUUUGUUAGUCUCAAGUACGAUGUAUAUGCCAGUCCUAGACCUGAGGUCAUCGUAUGAGCUUGGGAUGUGAAUCGGCCUACUUAGGGGUUGCCAAACGCUACUCCGUAACUGGGUGGUUAUAAAGGUAGCUUUCGGGUUUGCUGAGAAGCAUGCUGCGAGUCAUGGUUGAUCAAGAUGGGAUUUGCCCCUCCUGUUCGGAGAGAUAUCUCUGGGCCCUCUCGAGUGAUCAGAUUCGGAAAGCAUGGCCAUGCGACUUGGGUUAAGUGUUAACCCGUUCGGGAAUCUGUAUCACAGGAACGAGAAGAGACUCGAGCUAUCCACAAGGAUGACACGCACUCGCCUUGAGCUCGACACACAUAUCGCGAGGCAAAAGGAAUGUUGCAUAUGACACAUUGUAUGGUUCGUCAAUAUACCUUGUGGUUACUCGGGAGUUGGCACGUGCUGCUAGGCGCCGCUACCAACUAUCGACUUGAGUCGGUGCCAGUGGACGAGCAAGGUGUUACUCGGGCCCGCAGUCCGAGCUCGUAGUCGUGGCCGACUGACCGCGAACCUGAAGGGUCACACGCUUAAGGGGUGGGAACCGAGUUGGAUCGGAUCCAACUCGUAUCGGGCUUGGACUCCUAAUGGGCCUCAAGUGUUGAGCCCACUAGGGACGUCUAUAUAAGUGGAGGAGACCAACCCGUCUAGGGUUAACUCCAGUUCAGACGCGAGUUAGACUCGGCCGUCGCACCUCCACGCCCAAAGCCUUGCGAUCGGAUCUAGCAGUCCGCCGCACGGAGUUCCUCCCUGUACGUGUGGAUACCUCGGAGGCGCUGCACCUGCGGCGCUUGGACGAACUGUUCGUGGGAUCGGCGAGGAGGAGCAGGCUGUUCGACUACUCGGCAUCGACGCGCUACAUCGACUCUACUUCCGCUACGGGUCUGCGCGUCUAGUGGUAAUCUCGUGAUCCAUUAUCUACAGCAUUGAUCCGGGCGGAAGCGGUAGAAAAUUUUAUUUUGUGCUAGCGUAGCAUACCGCGUUCCCGAACAGGUCCAACAUCGUGUGCUGAGCAAGCAAAUUUGGAUUCCGGCCACGAUGAUUAAUUCUUCUCAUCUCACUGUUAGUCUGUUCUUCUGUCUUCUCUCUGACCUGACCACCCUCUAUCUCUCUUUUCUACCUACAAUGUUGUGGCUACAAUGUCAAGAUUACGGCGUUGUGUAUAUUUUCCAAUGUAUUUUUCAUUUUUUAUUGUCAUGUGAUAUAUAUAGUUAUUCAAAUAUAUUUCAAAUGUUAUAUGGAUUUUGAAAUAUGCAUAAAAACAGUAUAUCAAUCAUACUCGGACAACUGCAAUUGAUCGCUUUGACCAUCCAAACAAGAUUUGUCAUUCAAUCUUAAUAUCAAGUUUGGGUUCCGAAUACCGAAUAUCCAAACAAAAGUAUUGGCAUUCAAUGUCAAUAUCAAUAUCCUGUGAUGUUGACAUUGGAGCAAAUGCACAAUGUCAAGCCUCUCAAUAUCUACAUCUAAACAAAGCUAAGAUCUCGAGGAGACGAUGACGAUGAUGAGAUAAGGUGUGCGGUGAUGAUCCAUGCGUCUAGGAGCUAGCAGCUACGUCCUUGCAGAUAUCACAACCAAAUGUUGACCGGAUCCCAAGAUAUUUGCCCAUAUCUUGCGCAAAUGAUAGAAAAACCAAAUGCAAGCGUCGGUCCGUACCGGAUAAUAAAUAAUUUUGUCCGGCACAUCACUUUUAUCAGUUUUAUUUCAACAUAGGGAGUUGCCUCUGUUUAAGCUGAACUUCGGGUCAUUUCUCACGCCGAGAAGGAGAAUGCAGUCCAGAUUCAGUAGUACAAAUCCAUUUGUCUGCUUAAUGUUAGGUUAAAAAAAAUUCAAGAAAGUAAAUACGAAUCGCAUCAUCGGGAUAGCUCAAGCAGUGAUUCGGUCUACUCAAACGGCCUAUAUGCCUGACCGUCAUGUUCUAGACGGGUGGUUGUCCUUCACGAGACUAUUGAAUAAACUUCACUUGAAGAAAAGAGUGAAUUCCAUUUUUUUACCCCCUCUUUGAAACUUUUUGACACAAUCUACCCCAUUUAAGGGAAUUUCCAAAAUUGUACCCCAUUUAACCAAACCUUUGCCACCAAUUACCCUUUUAAUAUUUUCCCCCAAAUCUGACGUUUUCUGACGAGCGGGGCCCACUUUUCAGGCCUACGUGGCGUGCCACGCUGGCCUUCGGGGCCAAACCAGCCCGGUUCAGUUCGUGCGGUUCUGUCCGGUUGGGGUCUGACAUGGGCUUCAGUGGGUUCUGCCCGGUUCUUUCUUUCUCUGUAUCUCGCUCAUAACUCUUUCUCCCUCAUCUCUGUCUGUCUCCCACGGGUUAGGGUUUAGGCUGCGGCGACGGCGGCGGCGACGGAAGCAACCGCGACCUGUCGGCGGAGAAAGCGGCCACCACGGGUGCUAAGCCGGGUUCGACUCGGUGUUUCUCCGGGCCUGCGCUCAGAUGGCGUCGCCGGCGAAACGGAAGGCAGUGGGAGUGGCGAUUCCGAAGCUCCCCGUAUAUUCCGGGAAUUGCGAUUCUUCGUGGAAGGUAUGUUCAUCCGCCUCGUUUCCUUUCCGUUUCCAUCUCCUUAACGUCUUUCAUCUGUGAUUUCAUUGGUGAUUUGGGGAUAUAUUGUGGUCACAAAGAUAGGACUGAUGCGUAUCAUUGGAUUUUGGGGUUUCUCAAAAUUUAUUCCUGCUGGUGCAGCGUUUAAUUUGUGGUGUGGUUAAUGUACUUUUCAUAUCAGGAAAUUGUGGGCUCAAGCAAGUUCUCCCUUGUCAGUGGGUGCCGCUGGAAGGAACAGAGGAGAAGAUGGAUGCAAUCGACAGGAACUGCUCACGUUGGGCACUUUUGGAUGCAAUCCUGGAAGCAUUUUGUGAUGAAAAUGUAUGAAAUGUAUGCACUGUUGUACAUGGGCUGAUAUGUUGUACCAAAUUUUGCCUCAAAUGCAAUGAAAAUAUACGGGCUGAUAUAUAUGGUGAAGUGAAUUUUGUAUGGUUGCCAGAAAACCGAACCGGCACCUGACCUGAACCGGGCCGGUUCGGCCCCGAAGGUCAGCGUGGCACGCCACGUAGGACUGAAAAGUGGGCCCCGCUCGUCAGGAAACGUCAGAUUUGGCGGAAAAUAUUAAAAGGGGUAAUUAGUGGCAAAGGUUUGGUUAAAUGGGAUAUAAUUUUGGAAAUUCUCUUAAAUGGGAUAGAUUGUGUCAAAAAGUUUCAUAGAGCGGGUAAAAAAUGAAAUUCACUCUGAAGAAAAUGGAUGGCACUUUCUCACUAAAACUAGCAAUGAGGAAGAAGCAGGUCUAGCUCAAGGCUCCAGCUAGCUCAAGCCUCUUUGAUUUACAAGAUUGGAAAAAUCGGAGGAAUAGAAGGAAAAAAAUGUAGAAAUGCAAUGUGAUGUUUCACUACCAGGGUCACAGAGCUUAGUGAUGGUGAUUUAUUUUUGUGUCGGGCACCAGAAUGACUGUCAUGAAAAUAAUAAUUGUGACAGGCUACUACUGACACCAAAUUAUUAAUUUUUGUGGCGGGCCUUGACACUACCGACAGAAAAUAAAAUAUAUUGUGGCAGUUGGAAUCCGACACAUUUUCAUGCCGGUUCACCAUUACACAAAACACACAUUUGUGACGGUUAUGAUGUACCCAUCACAAAAAUAACAACGUCCCAAAUAUUGUUUUUAUCACUUUUGUGAACCAAAUACCAUAAGUCUGCUCUACUCUCAAAAUAUCUGAACAUUCAUAGGACUAUAUUUUGUAGACACGAAUUAUAUUUCUGUCGGCUUUUGGUUAUUUCUGAAGGUUUAGCACCGUCACUGUACUCUGUGAUCCUGUUAGUUUGAUUGCCUGAAAUUUUGUUCGAAUAUUGUAGGGAAAGCAAAGGAUUUCUCCCAAGAAAUGUAGUACUCCCUCAACGACAAGAAUUUGGGAUAGGAGGAAGUUCUUAGGAAAAUUUAGUAUAGGAUAUAAUCCUACGAAUCAAAGGACUCAUGUAGGAAAAAUUCCUAAUGAUUCUAUAUCAAAGCGUGCGUCGAUUUUGUGUUUGUUAGUCUCUGACCUAUAUAUGUCGGCUGACGGCAAGGACCCAGCGUCCGACCGAGCCGCGCGGGCAAGAGCCAUCUUGUGUACACUCCAGGUGAGCAGUCGUGCAUCUCAAAAGAAAAGAGACCCGGGACAGUUGUGUUGCCCCGGGUUUGCACUGUUGUACACGGCCGGGUCGUACUUUUUAGAAUGUCUCCGUGUGCAUAUCGAGCGUUUUACUUUCUUUUUUUUAGAAUCUCCUGUAACUUUAUUCAAACUCAAAACAUUACGGGUACAGUGCUUCGGAUCAUGGACAAAAGAAACUACAAAGUAACCCCUAUGAGUAAGAAUUACAAUGAAAUCUUUUGAAAACAUAUUCUCCGUAGCAUCAAUUUUUGCAACACGAAAUACUCUUCAUACUUUAGCAAAAGAACUGCAAUUAGACUGGAGUGGCAACAUCGCCACUCGUAACCCUGCACGAAUUUGAUUAUCUUUAAAGGUUUCAGAAAGCCCCUUGAGUCGUCCAUCUAAAAAGAUGAGAAGCCGUGAGCAUUGAACAUACUUGGGCCGGGGUUGAUCCCACAUGAUCUUCACGAAAACGCCAGAGAAAGACUCCAAAGUCACCAAAGUAUCAUGACACACUGACAAAAACUCAUCAAAUCCGUAUGAACAGCUCUGCGAGGACAUAAACUCAAAAUCCGCGUGAUCGGACACAUCGAAUCCGCGGUGAGUAAAACUUUUUGGCCCCGUGGCACUGCGCAAUAAGGCACCGCCGCAGCAGAGGAAAAACCAGAAUACCUUUAUUCUCGACGGCAUCGCACCCUCCGUCGUAACGUUGCCGAUGAAGAUCACAAGACUCGUAAUAGUAAAAACUUCUAAAAACACCCGGUAAUACCCGAGAUUCCCCCCACCUCGCAGCGCCAAGAUGGCGACAGGAGGUGAGGGGAACCGGUGAAUCCGGACGGUGCUCUACCUCAAAACUCUAAGUUUUCUCCCUCUCCUUCUCCCUGGCGGCGAUAGCGUACCUAACGUUUUACUCCCUCUGAUUCUAAAUUCUUGACUCAACUUUGCCAAAAUAUAAAUGUAUUUAUUAUUAAAAAGCGUCUAGAUACAUGUAAUAUUUCGACAACAAUUUAGGAUCGGAGGGAGUACUUUUUUUCCUUCCUUUCUUUGCCUCCGUGGGCUUCUUUUCUGUUUUUCUUUUUGGGCCGUGUCCCACCUGGCCCAUAUCUUAGCCACUGCCUCACCGAGCCCAACCGCUCGCUAGUCACGCAUGGUGGCCACGUUCCCCCUCUGCUAAAAAAAAACUUCGUGAGAACUGAUCAACUGAAGCACGAACUCCAUUCAAUCCUUUCCUCAAAAAAAAAAAACUCCAUUCAAUCCUCUAGAUUCCCAAUUGAAGCCCGCCAAAGAAAACCCCAUUCGCUCCUGAAUUGGUACCGCGAGUGGGAUGGCGUUGAUUCGCUGUGGAAUACCGGCAGCGGGCGGCGGUUGCUAGUCUGGGGCGAUUCGGCGGGCCUGGAGCAAGAGCCGGCGGAGCAAGGGCGGGCCACGGGUGCAGGAGCAGGAGCCGGCGGGGGUGAGGGCGAGCUGGGUCUGCGGCGAUUCCCGGAGGUUGCUGCUGUGAACGGCGACUCCGGCAGGGAGUUUUUGGCGGCAGGCGGCGGCAGAGAUUUCCGCCGGUUGAGGACGACGGCCCGGAUCGAGGCGUGUCCGAGAUCAGCCCACUUGGGAUCGAUUCCGGGUCGACUGAUUGGGCAUCUGAAAUAGGAACCCGCGGGCCGACCCUGGGCCGGAACCAACGGCGGCGGCGGGCCGGCCCGGUCUCUUCAACGCGCGUGUGUCGGCGGUGCGGGUCAAGUUUAUUUUUUUCUGAAUUACCUCUUUCAUAAUCUCGCAGCUUUUCUUCACGAGCGUAGAUGGCCAAUGGCCGGGCGGACGACAUUGUAGCGAGAGUCGUGUUUUCUUUUGAUUAAAGAUGGCAUUUUCUCCGAUUUCAUUAAAAGAAACAAUAUGUCUGUUAUAUAAAAUAAAUAAGUCCAAUUUUAAGAGCUACACUAAGCAAACAGCAAGAAGGCUACCCCUACAUUAUUCCCCUACACAUUGUUGUGCUCAGCAAACAAGACACUCUUCCUCGUCCAGCGAUACAGAGAAUAUGCAACAGGCCUACAGAUUUUGUCAACGGCCCUAACCUUGAGAUCGACAGAAGACCUCACAUGUGACUUGCCACAGUCUGCGGGAGCAUUUGCGAAGCGGUUCUCAAGUGGCGGGCUUAUGAAAACCAGCCCAAAGAUGAAUAAUAGAGCAGAUGUUAAAAUCACUACCGGAGGAUCAUAAGGUAACUUAUUCUUAAAACAAGCAUCCUUCCUUGUCUUCCAAAGAGUCCAAAGAACGGCUGCAACUCCAACUACCACGAGGUUUUCAACUUUCUUGCCAAACUAAAUCAGCCAACAAUAAAGCAAGUCCUAAAUAGAGACUGGAUCUACAACAACAUUAAAGCUAACUUGUACAGCAUUCCAGACAUAUCUUGCCAAGACAGCAUGAAAAGAACAAGUGGUCGAUGGAUUCUGUCUAGACCAGAAGGCACAUCUCUCUUCCCCCUCCCACCCUUGAGAUUUCAAUACAUCUAUGGUAAGUACACUACCUCUGUAGACCAGCCAAAGGAACACCAUAAUUUUCAGAGGCAUUUCUACUCUCCAGAGAAAGAAGUAUGGAAAUCGAACAUGGGACCGUUCAGUGCUCUGUACAUCGAGCCUACUAAAAAUCUCCCCUGGCAUCAGGUUUCCAAUACAGCUUGUAAUCUCCCCCGGUUAUCAUGUACCGAGUGUCGGUACACGAGGUUUUAUCAGGUUCGACUCUCCACGUGGAGAUAAAGAUCUACAUCUUGUUUGAUUGCAUUGAUCUUGAUUGUAGCGAUUACAAGCUGUGAUUCUUGUGUAGGCUCGGAAUCUAAUUCUAUGAUCUAUUGUCGAUUGUAAUAAGCUAUAAAAUUGUGUGCCUCGGGGCAGCCCCUGAUGGCCUUAUAUACUUGGCCAAUCUAGCUUACAAGUAGAAUUCCUAGCGGGACUCAACAAGAUGCUUGUGAUGGGGUAAUGGAACUAUAUAUUAUGAUCAAGGGCGGAGCUAGAGGAAAAAGCAUCCGAGUGCACUCUUUAAAGUUCAAUACUUCCUGGGACGCCUAGACAGCUUGGCCUGAUGCACACUUCCUAAUAAUCCCUAGUGCACUAGCUAAUUGCAGGGUAUAGUUAGCAUUAGAAAUUUUGUUUGACCCCUGGUGCAUGUGACCUAGGGAGCCAACAAGUAGGUCCGCCCCUGAUUAUGAUAACCCUAAACUGUCUUCAUAUGUUACAUUACACUCUCAAAAGUUGCAAUCAUGUUUUGUCUUUUAUCUAUUUAAAUAAACACUCAAAUCCAUGUUUUGUUUAUCGUCUUUAUGCUCGAGGAUAAGUAUAGACUAAGUUUGGGGGCGUUGAUUAUGUAAAAUGCAUACAUGAACUUUGACGUUUAUAAUGCCAUAUUCCAUCAUAAUUGUAUCGCAUUAUGAGUUAUUACCAUGGUUUUCAAUGAUUUGGGAAACUUCCCAUGAGUUCUCAUUAUUUUGAUAUUUAAUUAUGGAAAGAAGGAAAACCUCUUUUAAGUGUUUUUAACAUUCUAGGAGCUACGGGACUCGAAAAAGGGCACGAUCAGUGGCCACGGUUCAGAAAUUUUGAGAUGCCUCCAGCAAGUCAAAGCAGGCCAUCAGGGUAUCAACAGAAUGCAAAUGGGGCCCCACGGUGCACACCCCCUCCAGGCGCGACGUGCGGCCCACCACGGCCUUCCCUGCCCCUUUUGCCUUCGCUCAUUCGUGUGCAGCUUUGUCUUGACCUAAAACCAUCCAUAUAUACCCCCAAUAAAUUUAAUUCGUGACAUACGGCGACGAAGAGAGGAAACACAAUAACAGAGAUCUACAGGUAAAGACAUGUUUUCCCUCGGAGCUUUUCAUCUCUUAUAAGCAAACACACACACGCCACGAGCUUGACCUCUUGAAGCAUAGAGGAUUGGGCUUUCUCUGAAAAGAGUCACUUUUGUUUACAUUUUACUUGCUUUACUUUACUACACUUUAAAUUCCUCUACUCUAGUAGUUUAUUUCUACAAGUUAAAGAAACCUUGCAUCCGUUAAUUUAUUGGAUCGCAUAAACGGCCGUAUAAGUGGCUUAUAAAUAAUUAGAGAAUAGAUAGUUACCUUCUGCUCCUUGUGGGUUCGACACCAGUACUUAUCAAAAGGUACUACAUUGAUUCCUACACUCGUGUGGGUAUCAAUAUUCUACAUAUACAAAUUUGUGAUUUUAUGCACAAAACACAAAUCAAGUGUAUAUUUUGACGAAAUUACAAAGUGUAAAAUACAUUUAUACUUACACUAGAAAAAGAAUCAAAGCUUCACAAUAUGAUUUUUUUUCAAAUUAUAGGGACCGUGUAGCCAGGAGCCAAAAGUCCAUGUCCGAAGGAAAACUACUUCUCUCUCUACCCAAACGUAUAGAAGAAAACCUUGAGCUUCCAGACAUGGUCGCAUCAUCUCUUCCAUGUCUUCGAAAGCUCUUUAGAGCAUCAUAUCUUCCAUGUCUUCCAACUCUUUGGUCGUCGAGCCAAGUGGAGUUGGGCUGUCUGUUUCGGCGAGAGCAUAUCAGGUGCACCAAGCCCAUUGGUGCACCCGUACGUUGAAGCAACCAGAGCCGCCAUAUGGAAAAUGAAGGGUCCAGAUCAAAACAACGAAGGAAUUCACAUGUUUUAUGUUUAGUCCCUUAAGUUAGUUGUGAAUCAACUCGCGCUCCACUGCUCGUUAGUGUUUCUUGGACUUGGGGGUGGAUUUAAAUAGAACUGAAGGGUGUGAAUGGAAAAGAACACUAUAGAAGAGUGGAGCAUAGGUUGAUUCGCGAUAAACUUAAGGGCCUAGAUGUAAAACGACAAUUGGUUAUGUUUGAUCUAAACUUGGCCCUUGCUUUUCCAUCCAACGGUCCAUGUGGAUUGGACACACAGGGUGCACCAAAUGUCCCAGUGCACCUGAUACGCCCUCCUAUUUCGGCAACUAUACACGUGUCCAAGACUGUCAAGAAACCCGGUCUACUCCCUCAUAAUUGCAUUUAAAUCUAUGAGCUGGCUGAUGACAACUAGCGAAUCAUUGUGCCAUCUGUUGAUUUUUCAAAUCGCUUUGAUCUAUUUGACGAUCUUGGGAACGAUUGUACAAAAGCAAAUGUUCCCCUUGGUAGAAAGAAACGCCUGGUUAAAUUUCCACCAAACCGUCCUCUCUCGGCUAGUACUUAUGCAUUUGUCCUCGAAUUUGGCUUAAAUAGGGUUCUCCAAAUUAUCCGCAACAUCCGUAAGUUUUGUUCUCUCGCAUGCCCUUUCAUGUUUGUGUUGAAAGUUUUGGGAGAGAUGGAUUUAGACUACUUGAAUUCCAGCUUUGUGCAUGAUUUGGUUGUGUUUAUUAUUAUCUUCUCACAUAGAUCUAAUAUGUCCUCUGCGUUUCGUAGGAUCGUGAAGCAGGUUGGGAAGCCCGUUGACGUUGUAGAAAGACAUCAUAUCUUCGUUCUGAGUUCAGAGGUGAGAACUUUGUUCCGAUAUGUUUUUCACGUUAUGUUCUUGUAAUAUAGAUCUGAUGUCGCUUUAGUUCUUUGUUAUAUCAAUACAAGGUAAAUUUGCACUUAUCAAAAGGAAGAUGAACUACCAAGUUCUAGUGCAAACUCUCUUUUGGUCCUUCGUUCAUGCAAAUUUACGUGUUUAAUUUCUCGCCCUUGAUAUGCAACAAUUGGUUGGGAAAGGAUAAAACCUGAUAGAUGAGUCCUUCAAGAGCGCCUAGGAUUCAUGAAUGAAAUUGGUCUAAACGUCUCGUUUUCAUCGACUUAUUCAUUAUUCAUCUAAGGAUAAACAAACUUGUGAUGAUGCUUUGCCAUUGUUUGGUUGAUUGGAUUUGAUCUAUGUAAUAUGGUUCCUAGGUUCUUGUCUGAGUGAAGAUAAUCAAGUGGAAAACUAGACAGUUUACAUCCUGUAACUACUAAAUUGAUUCAAAAUCACCCACAAGAUUGUGUCAUGUAGUAUUUUUGUCAUGCUUGCAGUUACAAUCAUUUGAUUUUUAUGGUGCGGAUCAUUACGUACAUUGUGGUCAACAAUCCUUGUAUGCACACCAGCACACUUGCCCAUGUAAUCAUUUAAGACCAUUGAAUGUGCAAGCUGAAGAUAAAUAUAUUUUGAAUUUGGUGAUAUUUUAUAAAUUUGAUGAACUUUUCCUCCUUGGAAUAGCACACAAGUUGUUUUGAAGUCCUUGCAUAUCAGAAUUCAGAACACAUGGAGUAAACUAGAAAUAAGAUGAGACUGUAAAGUUGUUUUCUUGAGAAAAGCUAAUGCCCAUGAGUUAUGAAAAAGAAAAACUAUUCCAGUGUUUAGCCAUUAUUUAUGCAAAUUCAUAGGUGUUUAAUUAUUUCAUUGAUCAGCGUAUGAUUUAAAAUAUUUUUUAGGUGAGGAUUGAUUGCAAAGAUUAAACCCACAACACACUCCCAAUUAAAUAAAAUUAUUGUGCAUUAUUAUAUUAAUUGUCGCAAUUAAAUACAAUUAGUAUACAUCACUCAUUUUAACCGGCAAUAUCAAUGUGUCAUCAUUGUAUUUAAUAUUUUGGGAGCAAAUAAUUAUUGCACAUUAUUAUAUUAAUUUUCUCAAUUAAAUACAAUUAGUAUACAUCACUCAUUUUAACGGGCAAUAUCAAUGCGUCAUCAAAGAGUGUAAUUAUUUGUCAUCAAGUUGUAUAAUUAAAAUUGUCCCUAUGUCACACAAACAAACAGCAACUACACUCACGUAGAUAAGAAGAAUGCUGUGUGGGGCCAAACAUAGAGGCGCUGCUCGCUGCAACUGACAUCAAGAGCUGCCACGAUGCAGGAGGAAGCCAUACCUUCUAAGGAUCCAAUCAGGUUUCUACGUUAGGAGACAUUCAUGUUUUUCCAUUAGAAGUCCUAGUCUUGGAUUAUAUUAGAAGUCGUGUGUAUUUUCCACAAGCGAAAGAGAAGAUAAAACAUUUUCAUGGACGGCAUUCUCCAAACAAAGAAGAACAACUAGCAAAGUUAAGGAUAACUAGGUGGGAGACUACGUCGUCUUCUAUGCUUAUGCUGGGAGAACACCUCACCGAUCGUCUCUUCUUCCAAUUAUGCAACGUGUAACCAUCUGUCGGCCAUCGUACCGUGAAAGCAAAAAUUAACGAACCAAGUGUGUACAUGACAUAUCACUUGUUGGCGAGAAGACAUUUUCCUCUUGUCAUAUAUCACACCAUUUAUGCAUGGCCAUGAGGACCAACAAAAACUAGACAUGCACACUAACCAAGAUUUGGAUCUUGGAUCAUAGUAUACCAAUACCCAGGAGCCAAUAGCAAAAUGGCACAGCAGCCGCUCUGAAAUCCCUGAUCGCUAGUAGCUUACUGGCCGGCGUGCAGAAACAUACACAUGUGGAUCGCCUGGAUCGCCGGCCUGCACCUGCAGUGUUCCUGCAUGCAGGGAAAUUAUCUUUACCAACAUUCCAAAAUAAAUUAGUGUCAAGAUGAGCAAAUGAACCGCAAAAACACAAAAGGGCGUCAAAAAGGUGCUUGCGAUCAUAGGCGCAGCCAGGCCCCAGGCAACACGGGCCACGGCCUAGGGCGUGGCCAAAAUUUUCAAGCUAAAAAAGAAAAGAAAUUAGGUUUGGCAUGGGGUGUCGUGGCCCACUGGCCCAAGCCAGCUAGCCCAGCCCAGGGCGUGAGCAAUUCAUGACUCCGCCCCUGCUUGCGAUGAAGUUUAAGUCAGAAUAAAGCAGCUAGUAGUGAAGAAUAAAGUGAUGGCUAUGCGCCAAGAUGAGAGACAGAACAAAAAACGAAAAUCAAGAAAAGAAAAUACAUGAACACACAAUUCCAGAGAGAGAGAAAAGCUAAGAAUCCACCAGGCAUCUCUAAUCUUUUCUAGUUUGUUGUGAAUCAACUCGCGCUCCACUGCUCUUUUGUGUUUCUUGGACUGGGGGGGGGGGGGUGGAUUUAAAUAGAACUGAAGGGUGUGAAUGGAAAAGAACAUUAUAGAAGAGUGGAGCGUUGGUUGAUUCACGAUAAACUUAAGGGCCUAGAAGUAAAAUGGCAAAUGGUUAUGUUUGAUCUAAACUUGGCCCUUGUUUUUCCAUCCAACGGUCCACGUGGAUCGGGCGCACCAAAUGGCCCAGUGCACCUGAUACGCCCUCCUAUUUCGGCAACUACACGUGUCCAAGACCUACCAGAAACCCGGUCUACUCACUCAUAAUUGCAUUUAAAUCUAUGAGCUGGCUGAUGACAACUAGCGAAUCAUUGUGCCAUCUGUUGAUUUUUCAAAUCGCUUUGAUCUAUUUGACGAUCUUGGAAACGAUUGUAUAAAAGCAUAUGUUCCCCUUGGUAGAAAGAAACGCCUGGUUAAAUUUCCAGCAAACCGUCCUCUCUCGGCUAGUACUUAUGCAUCUGUCCUCGAACUUGGCGUAAAUUGGGUUCUCCAAAGUAUCCGCAACAUCCGUAAGUUUUGUUCUCUCGCAUGCCCUUUCAUGUUUGUGUUGAUAGUUUAGGGAGAGAUGGAUUUAGACUACUUGAAUUCCAGCUUUGUGCAUGAUUUGGUUGUGUUUAUUACUGUCUUCUCACAUAGAUCUAAUAUGUCCUAUGCGUUUCAUAGGAUCGUGGAGCAGUUUGGCAAGCCCGUUGACGUUGUAGAAAGAUAUCAUAUCUUCGUUCUGAGUUUAGAGGUGAGAACUUUGUUCCGAUAUGUUUUUCCCUUUAUGUUCUUGGAUAAUAUAGAUCUGAUGCCGCUCUAGUUCUUUGUGUCAUCUAGUAUUUUUUUUUCAUGCUUGCGGUUACAAUCAUUUGAUUUUUAUGGUGCGGAUCAUUACGUUCAUUGUGUUCAACUAUUCUUGUAUACACACCAGCACACUUGCCCAUGUAAUCAUUUAGAACCAUUGAACGUCCAAGGCGAAGAUAAAUAUAUUUUGAAUUUGGUGAUAUUUUAUAAAUUGUAUGAACUUUUCCUCCUUCGAAAUCGCACACGAGUUGUUUUGAAGUCCUUGCAUAUCAGCAUUCAGAAACAUGGAGUAAACUAGAAAUAAGAUGAGACUGUAAAGUUGUUUUCUUGAGAAAAGCUAAUGCCCAAUGAGUUAGGAAAAAUAAAAAUUAUUUCAGCGUUUAGCCAUUAUUUAUGCAAAUUAAUAGGUGUUUAAUUAUUUCAUUGAUCAGCGUAUGAUUUAAAAUAUUUUUUAGGUGAGGAUUGAUUGCAAAGAUUAAACCCACACGGCACACUCCCAACUAAUUAAAAUUAUUGUGCAUUAUUAUAUUAAUUUUCACAAUUAAAUACAAUUAGUAUACAUCACUCAUUUUAACUAGCGAUAUCAAUGCGUCAUCAUUGUAUUAAUAUUUAGGGAGCAAAUAAUUAUUGUACAUUAUUAUAUUAAUUUUCUCAAUUAAAUACAAUUAGUAUACAUCACUCAUUUCAAUACGUCAUCAAACAGUGUAAUUGUUUGUCCCUAUGUCACGCACACAAACAGCAACUAUCCUCGCCUAGAUAAGAAGAAUGUUGUGUGGGGCCAAACAUAAAGGCGCCGCUAGCUGCAACUGGCAUGAGGACCAACAAAAACUAGACAUGCACACUAACCAAGAUUUGGGAUCUUGGAUCAUAGUAUACCAAUACCCAGGAGCCAAUUGCAAAUUGGCACAGCAGCCGCUCUGAAAUCCCUGAACGCUAACUCACUGGCCGGCGUGUAGAAACGUACACAUGUCGAUGGCCGGCCUGCACUUGCAGUGUUCCUGCAUGCAGGGAAAUAAUCUUUUGCACUCGUACAAGUCCAGCUUUAUUUGUUGGCAGCAAGUCAAAGAUGUGUCGUGGCCUGCACCGCCGCAGCCAAUCCACAUCGGCACGAUUUACUUGCGCAAUUAUACGUUGAUUUAGUACCUGUUCGAGUAUUAUUUUGUUUCUUUUGAAAUUUCAACCAGCGCAUAUGUAGGAGUAAAUAGUAAACAGUUCCAUGGACUUGUGCUGGGCAGUACUGGCCCAAUCUUGGACGGUGGAGUACUGUACUACGAUGGGCCUGAACCGGACCUGAGUCCAGCAAUGUAUGUACACCAAGUUUGACCAAAGCCCAAUAUUGCUUAAGUCUAUUUUUAGACCACAAGCAUCACCCUAACAGAAAGAUAUGUAUGCACUGUACUGUUGCAAGUCAACAAGCUUUACAUGCAUCACCCUAACAGAAAGGAAUGAAAGAAAAUAAUGUCUUCAAGUCACACACGGGUGCCUAGGUACUGCUGUCUCCUUUUACCAACAUUCCGAAACCCAUAAAAAUUAAUGUCAAGAUGAGCAAAUGAACCGAAAAAACACAAAAGGGCGUCAAAAGGUGCUUGCGAUGAAGUUUAAGUCAGAAUAAAAUAGCUAGUAGUGAAGAAUAAAGUGAUGGCUAUGCGCAAAGAUGAGAGACAAAAUAAAAAAGAAAUUCAAGAAAAAAAAUGCAUGAGCACAUAAACCCAGAGGGAGAGAAAAGCUAAGGAUCCAGGCAUCUCUAAUCCUUUCCCGUUGAGCAAGAGAGAUAUUCUUGGAUGAUCCAGCCUUAUAUUGUUCCCAAAGACCAUAUCUAGGAUGAACAUUCCUCGUGAUCUAGGGGGACAUUCAGUUGAUAGAAAGAAAAAGGAGGGUGUCUUGUUUGCUGUACCUUAAAGAUGAUCAUUCUGUGAGGCACUUUGCAUGUCCAGCAGACCAGCACCACUUCAUAAUAUUCACCACCAAAAGAAGUGAUUAGGACCUUUCUCCCCACAGGGGAAAGGGAAUCUUAUUCCUCCGAGGUGAUCAUUAGUUUAAUCUCAUCAUGUUUGCAUAUGCCCUAAUCCCAAGUGCAGCUGUGUGCAUGCGUGUGUUGUUAAAAAAGACUUUGGCAAUUUUAUUUCUUUCGGAAGAGAAUGUUGUGCCGUUAGAGGGGCAUCACCACGCUAUCACUAGUCACUAGUUUCUAGGCAUUCAGACAGGCAAACAGACAAAGAAAAAAAGUUGCAGGAUCCAAGACUAGUAUUAAGUGGGCCUAAUGACAGUAAUAUCUUUGCACACCCCAAGGUGAUGAUGCAUGGAGUACAGUAGGUGCUAGCUCCAAAUUCAUCAUGAUAGAUGGCCAAAUGAUAAGAAUCUCCGAGAUGGCAUCUUGUGGAUGCAGAGAGUCAGCUAACAGUAGGCCAUGCUUAAUUAGGACAUACAAGUCACUCUAAUCAGGGGUGCUGCCGUGCACAUGCUGGCCCAAAGGGGAAAGUUGUAGACUGAUUAUUCUUUUUCUUUUUCUUUUUUUAAGACGCCCCCUAAUCUGUUCGUUAAUUGCUGGUGUCACUGACAUAUCUGCUGUUAGCCUCCAGAGCAUGCACAUUCCAGUGCUGUUUUUUUUUCCGAAAAAGGCAGGAGCUCUGCCAUGUAAUAUUAGAAGAAAAAAAAUAUAGGUACAAGAAUCAUUUUUUUGCCGAGAAUUCCAGUGCUGUUAUUUUUUAUGCUUGCACAUUUCCAGGAAGCAUCAGAUGAUUGGUUAGUGGUGGUCACGGGGGGUAUCCUUAGGAGAGGGGGUGUGGUGGUCAACUCUUAGGGCACAAUGAUGAUACAGACAAACCCACUAUGCUCUGCUACAACCUGACGACUGAGCCUGAUAAUACUGUUACUUACAACUUUCUUUUAGUACUCCAAUGUAGAAACAUAUGCAUCCAGCUUAAUUCUUUUUUCAUAACCUUAUGCCAAUAUAUAGGAGAACAUGAGUUAGGUUUGGAUAGUUUUUGUUAUGAAUUUUGUAAGUACCCAUUCAUUGGUGAAUUAUGCAGAGUGUUAUACCCAUUGCUGACACUUAUAUACUACAUUCUCUUAGUUAUACUUACUGCCCCAUGAUUUCUUUCUUGCUAAUUCCAUCUUGUAUGCAUGAGGAUUCUUAUUUCUUUUGUGCUUACUGAAUUUGGUUGACAUGCUAUUUCUAAAUGCCACGUCUUUUUCUCUUGAAACAUACAUGUUAUACCUCAAUAGUUUCAGCAAUGUUUUUCUUUUCUUCAAUUUACCAUGAAGUUCUACAAUGAUUGAUAUAUAUGGACUUAAAUUUUCAUGUGGUUGCAAUGUGCUUAAUUUAAUAUGUACUGGCGUUACUUUAAGAGCAUACGCAAAUUAGAUGUUUUUUUCAGUUUUCUUUCACAUCAAGCAUGUAAAACUGGUAGGUAUACUUGUAAAUGUGAAAAUAGUUUCUUCAGUUGUGUUAGUCGAACAUGAUAACUUGCAUUACUAGUUUUAAAAAUCCAACUAUAUAUGUUUUGUGUCAUGUGAAGAAGCUAGUGUUCAAAAUAGAAUACAUUUGUCUAUGUGAAGAGGGAAAAAAAAUUAGAAGCACCAUGCAUAGUAUUAAAGUGAUGCCGUUACAUCCAUCUCGUAGCAGCAGUUAUGACCUGUGAUCAGGGGAAACACUGUCCAUGAAUUGAUGGGGUCGGACUAUAGAAUUUGAUAUUACGCUUGCUUAUGCAUGAGAAUUAAAUACCCAGCACAAGGGGUUUGUGAUGGUAUACAUACUAGAGCCCAUGAGGGGCAUUAAUUCCUAACUCGAUCCAUUCUUCUCAGUUCUUCAGGAAACCUCUAGCUACUCUAGCAUUCUGCCCCCCCCCCCUCUCACCCCUUAAGAUGAGAGAGAAAAGAGGUUUUGGGGUGUUUAAAACAAGCAAAUUGACAGAAAUCACAGGCACAGUGGAGGCAAGGCAUGCCCGUCUUGUUCCCAUCUCUCUCUCUCUUCUGACACACCACAGCCUGCCCCUCUCACUCUCUCUCACCCUCUCCAUGGAGCAAGCUUUUUUACUGAAGCAAUGAAGUCAAGCAAUCAAGUGAUAAGCUUGCAUUCCUGAUAGUGCAAGCAAAGCAAAGCGCUUGAAGACAGCCUCCCUUGUCCUCCUUCCUCUAGCCUUGCCUUCUUCACUUCUCCACCCCCCUUCACAGGCGCCCACAUCUCCUUCCACCAUCUCCAUUCCCUCGUAUACUAUUUUCUUUCUGUUGGCACUUUGUGUGAUGUGCCCUAGGCCCUAUAGGCUAUAGCCCCCUAGUCACUUCACUACAAUGGUGGAAGCUGCAAACACUGGAGGCCUUGCCCCUUCUUUGUCCUCUUGAUUAGCCCUUGACAAACAAACACAAGGUCCGUUUGCUUUUGGUCUCUCUCUCUCUUCCCACUGUGCAUAGCAGUGUAGGGAGAAAAAACCCUCUGGAUGGUCUCUCUCACUGUCUCACACACACACAUAAACACAAAGAAUUAACAUCUGCACAUGAAGCUCCUCCUCCUUUAGUUUCUAGUCCUUGUUGUUGUGCAUUUAGUCCACAAAGAAAAAACUAGCUGGUACUAGUAGUGGUGGUGUAUAUGUAGUCGUAAGAGUAACUAGUAAAACCUCCACAAAGUAAGCACCCCUCCCUCCCUCUCUUUGCCCAAGAAGAGCUCGACUGUUCAUCCUCCCCUUCCUCCAUGCAUCCUUCCACUGGCUAGUUAUAGUGAGUAGCAGCAGCUGUCUUCUCUCUUCUUAAGCAUCUCCUCCCUUCUUCCUUCUUCUAAUCUACUUGUUUGUCUGGGGAGGGGGGCAAGAGUAGCUCAACACAGUAGAGGCUGAUAAGCUAGAUAGAGAUAGCUAGGACUAGGAGGAAUUAAUAGGAUAAUAUUAUAAAAUAUCUGCAUUUUUCUUCCAUGGUCCAAUUGAGCAUGCAAACUAUAGAGUAGCUUAGAUUAAUAAGCUCAUCUCCUCCAUCUUGGAGAGAGUUUGCAAGUGGUUGUAGUAGUAUCUUCUUGAUAAGGUCCCCAAGAUCCCACACCACAGCAUACCAUACAUGCACCUCGGUUUCCUUUUUGUUCUCCACACACACAUACUCUCUCUCUCUCUUUACUUUAUACUUUAGUGCCUUCCUGUUUCGAGUCCCAAGAAACACUGAGAAUUUUGUUAGCGUCCUCGUGAGAGAGCCGAUUGAAUCAGGCCACUGACAAUUUUUCCUCUGUGUAAUUUCUCAUGGUUUCCAUUGUGCCGCUGCAGAGAAGGCAAGCAGAAGCAAGGAUGGAUCUCUCCGGCACCACCCGCGGCGAGCUCCCGAUCCCCAUGAACGCCUCCUACGGUCCUGCCGCUGCCGCUGGCUCCGUCGUAGUCUCCGGCGCCGGCCACUCCCAUGCCGCCGCCGCCCACAACGGGCAGCAGCAGAUGACGGCUCCUCUGAUGCCUGCUGCUGAGGUGGCGAACAACAACGCUGCUGCCGCCAUUGGCAUUGGCGGCAAGAAGCGCUCUGCUGCUGCAAGCGCUGGAGCUGGAGCUGGGAUUCGGGCUGGCAAUGGCGCCGGGGGAGCGCCGCUGGCAAUGGUGAAGUACAGGGAAUGUCUGAAGAACCAUGCCGCGGCGAUUGGGGGAAAUGCUACUGAUGGCUGCGGCGAAUUCAUGCCGAGCGGCGAGGAAGGGUCGCUGGAGGCCUUCAAGUGCUCCGCCUGCGGCUGCCACAGAAACUUCCACCGCAAGGACUUCGACGACGACCUCGCUCUCCACCGCCGUCUGCUCCUCGGGCCCCACCACCUCAUCCCCAGGGGCCCCAUCGUCCCCAGCUCCGGCGCCGGAGACCACUACGGCGUUGGAGGCGGCGCCGCCUACGCCCGCGCCGCCCUGCCCCCGCCGCAGCACCCGCAUCAGAUCGUGAUGCCGCUCAACAUGAUCCACUCCUCGGAGUCGGACGAGAUCAUGGAGGGCGGCCAUGGCAUUGGGGGAGCGGUGCUCUCCCGCUCCCUUGGCCAUGGCGGCGGCGGGGCGUCUUCUUCGCAGCAGAAGCGGUUCCGCACCAAGUUCACCCCGGAGCAGAAGGCGCGGAUGCUGGCGUUCGCGGAGCGCGUGGGGUGGCGGCUGCAGCGGGCCGACGACACCGCCGUGCAGCGCUUCUGCCAGGAGGUCGGCGUCAAGCGCCGGGUGCUCAAGGUGUGGAUGCACAACAACAAACAUAACCUCGCCUCCAACAAGCUCCCCAUCCCCAGCACCCCAAACUCGCCCCAAGCUGAAGCUCAAGCUCAGGAUCAAGACCAGCCUCCAAUGGCGCCCGCGCCGGUGAAUUCCAUGCCGCCGCCGCCGGAGCAGGAGCCCGGGCAGGACGAUCAGCAGCUCGACCUCGAGUGAUCGAUCAGAUUGGCAGUGGUUCUUGGUGAUUCUGCUAGCUAGCCAUAGCAAAAAACCCAGCAUUUGCGUUUAUUUUUACUGUUCUAUCGGACCGAUCGGAUUUUAUUAAUUUGCGGGGAGGGAGGACGAAGAACCCAAAGAAACUAGGCCCGUGGUUAUUAUUAUUAUCGUCGUCGUCUUUUUUUUAAUCUUGGCAUAAGGUAGGGGAGGACAUAACUGAGCUGCUCUGCUCAACUUCCGGUUAUUAUUAAAAAAAAAUUCCUGGACUUGCAUUUUUUUUGCCCUGCCAUUUUUCCCUGACUUUUAAGUCUAGCUCUAGCAGCGGCUGAUGUGCCUGGCUGAGCAUUUGUCUUGUCAUGGAUCAGAGGGUUUUAUUGAAUUAAUUCUGACUUUUUUAAUAUUUCUCCCUUGGUAUUAUUAUAUCUGUGUGGUUUCUUAGAUUAAUCUGUGCUCUGGUGUGGUAUUAUAGUUAUAUGUGAUUUGAGGAAUUUUAUUUAGAUAUAUAAUGUGAUGGGAGAUGAUGCACAAAAACAAAGAGAGAGCAUGAGCUGGGAUGCAAAUCUCUGCUCAUGUCUUGUGUCUUUCAUGCCCACUGUUGAUGACAUGAUGCGCAUGCACGGUGCACCCCUUUGCUUAAUCUGCAGUUGCUGUCGGUGCUCUUACUGUGGCCUGCCCUGCACUGCAUGCCUGAUCUCAUCUCAUCAGUUUUAUUUACAUCCAUCUCUCAACUCACCAAGAAAUUUAAAAAAAAAGAGGGAAGGGUUUCAGAGGAGAUAGGUGCAGCAGGCAAACAAAAACGGUGAGAAUUAAUACCCCUGUUUGUCCCAUUUCUCUCUUUGGGGGCAGAUAAUGCUCAUUAGUCCUUUGCCCCUGCAGCACAGCACAGCACAGCUACAGGCUUGGCCCCAAGCAGUCAAUCGGGGCAUUGGGGCCGUGUAGGUGUGCAGGGGGGCAGGGGAGCAUGUGGCAAACGAAUCUGAAGGUAGUUUGGAACUUUGGAUUGCCUUGUGGUGUAGUUGGAAUUGCAACAAGGGAGAGGAGCAAGCAAUGCAUUGCUAGCCUGCUAGGUGGCUGUGGCUGUGGCUGGUCCCCCGAUUUGUCCUCCGGCAGGAGAUUUCUUGCUACGGCUUCUCUUGAUUGUUUUACCCUCAAUUGAUCCCUACUACUUCCUAUGAUAAAUGGCUCCGCCUGCCUGGCUGCCUGUGAGGAUCAAGAUUUCAAGUACUACCGAUCUGCUGGUCUUAAGUACAGGUUUUGGUACUGCAAAUGAUGUGAAAUUGGAUUUCUGUUAGUAGUACCUGCUUGAUCCUUUACUAAUGUCUCUCUGUAAGUGUGAUUCAAGUACUGAUUUGUUUUAAGAUGAGAUUCAAGUACUGCUGAUUUGGCGGUCUCACCCUCAAGUAGAUGUGUGAUUGGUUUUUUGUACCGGCUUGAUAAUAAUAGAUGUAUGCUUGCUGGGACAAGCUUUUUUAAGGAGAUCAAGUGCUGCUGAGACGAAACUAAUUGCCGUGCCAAUGUUUUAUUGUCCCUCUGUGCGUCGUGUACUUUCUUUGCCGACCUGUAAUGGUGGCAGGAGCGUUUUAUGUCACUAACGCUGCGGGCAUUUACCCUGAAAUGACAAGCUGCUGCCUGGUUUAAGUGAUUUGCGGUGUCCUGGCCCAUGGGAGUAACGCUGCUCACUCCGAUCCUAAAUUGUUUUCGAAAUAUUACAUGUAUCUAAACGUUUUUUAAAAAUAGAUACAUCGAUAUUCGGACAAAUUUGAGUCAAGAAUUUAGGAUCGUCCCUUUGGAUUAAAUGCUUCUUUGUACAAAUAUUCUAAGAUAAAUGCUAAUCGUUUUUAUGAAAACCUUGCAGUAAAAAUGACACCGUGCAUCGAUUGUUCCAGAGAGGUCAGGAAUCUUUUCACAUUUUCGGAAAAAAAAAAUGCCGCCGUGAACCCCCUUACUGGAUAUUUAAACCCCAGAACUUCAAUAAAAGAAAGUAAAAUGCCACUUUCAAAAAAGAAAAUGUAAAAUGCAUCACAGGUUCCGGGUGUCAAGUUGGUUCUAGUCCUAAGAGAAAUUAAAGUGAUGCAUCACAAUUGAGUUCUCCGUGAUCCUGUCAAGUUGGUACCUGCUUCUAUUUAGUUCUCCUUCUGCUACAUUGCACAGCAAUCUGGAUCCUGGAUGCCGAGGCAAGAGGCUCUCCUAGGAGAUCAUGUGCCGAGACAAAACUCACUAGUGCUAAGUACACGUUGUGCCAAUGUUUUCUGUGUGUCCGACCUGCGUUGGCAGGGGCGUUUUACGUCACUAGUGCUGCGGUCAUUUAAGCUGAAAUGUACAGGCUAGUACUGUUAAGAAUAUAAAUAUACUGACUAGCCUCUUUCUGUAAGUUCGUACUUUUGGUUCAAGUGGCUAGCGCAUCAAUCUAAUGGUGCUAGUUCUUUUCGGUUUCCUGGACCGGUUUGUCUGAGAAGCUACCCUCCACCAGUUUCCUGUAGAAGCCACCACCUAAUUUGAUUAGGUUAUCAAACUAGUUUGGAUUAAAUUACUUUGAAAAGCUAGCUAAAUUAAAGAUGCGGCUUCUCCAAGAAACUAGGUGAGAGCAGUUUCUAGGAGAAGCCAGUUCUAGAAGUCGAAAAGAACGAAACCAUGGUAUUGGAGUCAAGAGGUCUCAAGUUCAACACCUUGCUCACGCAGUAUUAAAAAAAACGAUUCUACGGCCUACACCGAAUCGACGCUAAGGACUAAAAUAGCUUAGACGUGAAGAGGAGUGUUGAGAAUAUAAAUAUAUUGACUAGGCUCUUUCCGUAAAUUCGGACUUUUGGUUCAAGUGGCUAGCACAUCAAUCUAAUAAGUACUAGUGUUCUGUCCCCUCGCAGAGAGUAAUGUUAUGUUUAUCCAGUUUAGAGACUAGAGUUGUUUAUCCAGUUUAGAGACUAGAGUUUGGUACUCCGUCCGAUCUAUAUUAAUUAGCUUAAAUUUGUCCAAAUAUGUAUGUAUAUAUGUCUAAAAAACGUUUAUAUAUAUAUAUAUAUGUAAUAUUUCGACAAGUAAUAUGGAUUAGAGGGAGUACUUAUCUUGUGGCCUUGGAUGUUAGGCCGAAUAUGGUGAGUUACUUGUUCAAUCGCCGUUUCACGGAAAAUUGGGUAGGGGAAUGAAGAAAAUGAUGCAUGCUAGAAAGGCCAAAAAUAUUACUGCAUGCUGAUUUUAAACUGCAUUGCUUCAUGCUGUGCCAGGUUUGAUCCUCAUUUGUCUCGUCUGGGCCAUGGGGCCAUGCUAUUUGCAUACAUGUCACUUUGGAUUCAAGGCAAGUCCUAGAAAUCCUGUUAAGCUGAUCUCUUCUCCUUGACUCGUGUGCAGAAGGCCUGUAGUCCGGUAGGUUGCUUGCGGCCUAUAUGAACCGGAAACGAGGGUUCACCUCAUCAUGUUCGAGAAUGUAAAUUCAGUCGAUGGAUUUGGUUUGGUUGUGUGCGUCACUUGAUGCAGGGACCUUCUUUUUUUCCGAAAAAAUAAGUGGAGGAUUUGGCGUUGGUCAAUAACUGGUUCGGCUUUGAUCUUGAUCUGAUUCCGCCAACACGGUCGUAUAGUUAUUCUUUUAAAAAAGGCGAAUUCUCUGGCCAAGCGAUGUACACAACCAUCACACGGUCGUACAGUGGUGGCAUGACAACUUCUUUGACUCGUGAAACCGUAGAAAGGCGAUCACCUAGUUUCUUGUAUUUGUCUUAUGGAAGAUUUGGAGCGAACGCAACGUCCGCGUUUUCGGAACCUAGUCAUACUGCCCUCGAUCAUCUUGCUCGCAUCGAAAGCACGACAAAUUGAGUACUUGCCGGGGCCAAGCAUCUCAGGUCAAUUUUAACGAGAGAGUAGAGUCGGUUGUCGUCCUUGUUUUUAGCGCUUGUCUUGGAUCUCUUUGAUCUAACUUUUUCUCUAUUAAUGAAACGAGACUUCUGCCUCCAUUUAAAUAAAAUGAAAAUAAAAUGAACCAAACUCCCCCUUCUUGGUGCCAGAAUUUGGGUUGUCAUGUGCAUGACCAACAUGCAUGCGCACGGUGCAGCCUUGUGUUGUGUUGAUAUCGUUGUACUACGAUGUCUCCAUCGUACAGUAAAGUGCAAAUAUUUGACUCGAGCUGUAUGGAAUUUUUAGUCAAGUUUCUACAAAACAUCUAUCAGUUUUUAAAAAGCAAAAAAUAUUGAUGUACAUAUUAAUCUAUAUACCACAUAUGUGUAAAAAAUUACUAAGAAAAUCUGCCAUGUGAGAUAAGUAAAAAAAAUACAAGUUGAUGAAGUGCAUCUAGUGAAAGUCACAUCAAAUUUUCGGGCUCCAUGGAGCCUGAGCUCUACAAGCAAUUUUGCUAAAAUUGGCACUGCACUUUGAAGGCUCCUUUAAUUCAAAAGAUUUUUUUAAAAUAAAUUUGAAUUAUUAGAAUUUUUUCGAUGGAGGCAUUGAAGGCUCCUUUAGUGCAAUUUGGUUGGUUGAUUUGUAAGAUUGAGUCUCGUAGAUUUUUUUUCGAAGUUCUCAACUUUGUACUUAAUUCAAGACACUUAUUAUGGAUCGGAGAGAAUACUUGUAGUUGAUACUAAAUUUUUACUCGCAAAAAAAAGUUUAUACUACAUUUUUAAGUUCUUGGAAAUCGUUUCUUCUUUUCGUGGUAGAAUCAAACAAACUUUCUGUACAAAUUCAAUGCAGUAGGAUUCGAGCGGACCCUGAUCCAGUGUGUUUCAGAUUCCUGCGUUUUAUCAUUUAUCCUGCAAAUGAAAAAGCUCUAAGCAAGUACUUUUUCCCUCAAAAGUAAACGACUGCAGCAUCAUACUCGAAGAAUAUGGUCACAUCCAACAGUUCGUAUCCGAAUUCUGACGAGGUGAAAAUAUAGACACACGCAAUGGAGAAGGCCUGAGUGCUUGGACAUACUGACGACACGAGCGAAAAUUGCAAGAAUCCAGCAGAAGAUGCUCAGUAAAACAAACAGGCAUCGCACAAAUAUACAUGUGGGUUGUAGUACUGCACAAAAAUAUACAUAGAAAACAAUAAAACGCUUAGAUUUGAAUGUUUGAAACCAAUGUAACAAAAGGAGAACGAACAGCAGCGCCUUGCAGCUGUGCUGAGAUGAGAUAACCCAUGUGUUGUUGCAGGGGAGCCCAACCAAAACGCCCUCUUCCCAGCAGCUGAGCUGACAUAACCCAUGUGUGUCAGUGCUGCUGCAGAUGGAUCCGUGGUGGUUGCUGCCAAGGCAAGCAGGCAAGCCAUCGGAUCAGUCCCAUGUUCUUGGCAUCAGAACACCAUCGCCCCUCUUUGCUUACGUUCGGCUGAAGUUCAAUGCUCUGUUUGGUCCAUAUUAAUUCGCUGAUUUAGUAUGAAGUUGUACUAUCAGCCACAACCGUAUGGAUCGGAGGGAGCGGUACUAUCUAUACAGGAAGCAUUACCACCAGUUUUUUCUUAAAAAUUUGGUUGUUUCACAAGUGGAUUUUGAGAUUUUGCUUAGAUAAGGUGUCUGCCUGGAGUUGUUGUGCAAAAAAAAAAAAAAUUCUAUUCCAAAACUUUAUCACAAAUGGGUAUGAAGACCACAGAUCGAUCUCCGUUUUAGAAGGGACUCUUGGGAAUGAGAUGGUCUUUCUUUCUAUGCGUGUCUAUUCACUGUUAACGAUGGUAUGAGAGUUUGUUUUCAUGAGGACACGUGGUUGGGUUCUUCUCAUUUAAAGGAUCAAUUUCUGUCUUUUAUCGAAUUACGCUCAAUCGACGGGUUUCACUGGUCCAUGUUUAGUCGAGGCCCCUCCUAAUAUUGCCUUUAGGAGGACUAUCGUUGGCGCAAGAUUGACAACUUGGAAUAAGUUAUGUGCUAACUUGGCUUCUUUGCAUUCCAAUGACCAACCCAAUGCGUUUUGGGUCUUACUACAUGGGUUGGCUCGCCAUGAAAUCCUUAUGUAAGACAUUAAUCAUUUUGAAUUGCCAAUUUCACCAUAAUGUCAUUUGGAAGCUUAAAUGUUCAUGCUAAGAUAAAAAAUAUAUUUGCCUGGUAUCUUUAUAGAGGGGUGGUGACAAUGUGAUCGAACCCUAAACCCUCAUCCUAUGGGAAUGGUAGUUUCCCUCAUUUCGUUUAUGAUGUCUCCGAAAAUCACUACUUGCCCUGUAAAUUUUGUAAAAAAAACACAUAAAUAUUUUCUGUCUAUACAUAAAUCACAAAUGGACACAUGACAAAUCAUGUAAAUUAUAAACGUCUUUUGUACAAUAACUCGUCUUGUGAUUUCCACAAGGCUUCCAAAUGAUCAUAUUCAUGGCAAAAGUUACAUAUAGGCACAAUUUUACCAAUGCCUAAUGCAAUAUCAAAAGACCACAUUUCCACAGAAAACGUUAAAAAAACAACGAGAAAACAUGUGCUUGGCUUCGGCGUGACCUUGUGUUUUCCUGAACGCUGACCAUGAGAAACUCUGAACACCUUAUCAUUCAACUCCAUGCAUGAUUACAACAACAACGUGAAGCUGUGAACCCAAGAAAAGAAAAAUCAAACAAACGCCAGGAAAGGUAAACCCAGCUCCCAACUUUCAGACAAACUAAAGCCGGCUGCACCAAACAUUCUAUCCAUCACACACGCACACACACGGCCCCUACAGCAAAAAGCUCUGAACCCACAGCACAGCAGCGAGAGAUAGAGUUUAAUGAGGCGCUGAGCACGCAUGCACGGGCACGGACGGACGGGCAUGCAUUGCAAAGUCAGUCAGGCAGGCUGCAAGAACAGUUUUAAGGCAGGGAAGAGGGAGAGAGCAUCGAGCACCGCGCCGAUCGUAAAAGAAGGAAAAACAAAGGCGCAGGAGCGUGAAAUGCAGUAAAAAAGGGGUCGGAUCAUCGGAGCCCGCCGUGUAAUCGCAAUCGAACGCCGUGGUACGAAGAGAUUCCGGGGCGCUUUCUUAUCAGGAAAACCGAUGGAUUCGCGGGCAACGGGCAUGCAUUGCUGCAGCGUGGUGUCAUUUCUCUGGUGCGUGGGAGUGCACGUGAGAGUACUGGUAUUUUCUUAGAAAAAGAGAAAAUAUCAAGUGUAUAUAUACAAGAUGGGAUGGCAGAGAGACACAGCUGAGUAACAUAAUGAGAGGCCGGCCGUAUAUAUGAAGAGAAGCUAGUGAAAAAAAUUGGAGGGAAAAGCCGGACCGCUAUACUCUCCUUCUGGCACGACAGCUUCUUUGCUUUCGAGACAUCUUUUCACUUUCCGCUCCUACAGUGCCAAUGCAGUGGCAGUCGUAGUACACUUUGGAUUGUUGCUGUGCUGGCAUGCAAACAUAGAACACGCGCAAGUACGCACUACUCAUCAGAGGUUUUAAAAUUUUCCUGAGUUUGCAGGGUAUCCCAUGCCACUAUAGCAGCAGCAGAGAUGGAGGGAUCAUGAUAUUGAUCAAGACGUGGAACUGAGCACGCAUUUACUCUUUUUUUCUUGACCACAUCACAUCAGAUCAGCUCAUUGGCCAUGUCAAGCUAGAGAGUAGAAGAAAAAGGGCAAGAAAAGCAGGAGGGGUUGUUGCCUUGUUCCCAUCUCAUCUCAUCCCAUCUCCCCUGGGUACCUACGUGCAUGCAUCUAGUAGGACAUAAAACCCUAUGGUUCCCCUGUCAGAAGACAGGGACAAGUCCAUGUCCAUGUCCUCCUGGUGGAGAAGAAAACACGAGAAACACAUCCAAGAAGAAUAAUCAAAGGACAAACACCGCUAGCUUUAGCUUAGCUUAGUAGUGGUACUAACUUUGAUGGUGCCUAUUUGGCCCCUAGGGCUUAGGUUAGGAGAGUGAUGAGUGCUAGUAGCUACGAGGACACAUGAUGAUCCUCUCCACUCCUAUAGUCCUAUCUUUGUGUGCAAGAGCCUCUCAUCAGGGAUGCAUGGCAUCUGUGCAUGCAUGUGAACCCUUCCACGGCAAAGAAGGACAAGGGGCAGUUGCCACUAACCCCAUUCCAGCCAAUCAAGAGAAAGUCCAUUUAACCAUCAUCUGAUCGGAGCGGCAAUAAAACGAAAACAAAAUCAUACGCCAUCCGUUCAGAAAAGUAUGUCUCAAAUUUGAUUUGUCAAAAUUUGAAUGUAUUGAGACACCAUUUAGUGUAUAUAUACAACUAAAUUUAGAUAAAUUUGCGAUAUCUUUUUUUUGACAGAGGAAUACACGACCCCAUGAACGUUCAUAAAACGGCAUGCAGAAAAAGCAAUUAAAUCACAGGCCAAGGACCAAAAAACAAAUUUCUUCAAGCUGUGUUGGCCGUGCCUGUGGGAAAAAAUCAGAAAGAUUUUGUGAUCCUCGAUCGUGUUCCAUAAUUAUGAUGCAGCAUGGCAGCAGCGAUUCGCACACCCAUAGCAUCACAGAUCUUUGCUAGUACUUGGAUAAAACCGUACACAUACAAAAGAAAGAAAUGAAAUGAAAAAUGGAGACAGAUCGAGGAGGACCACGCGAGGAAUUGCUCUCCGAUCCUCUCUUUCAUCCCCAAGUCUCAGAAGGAUGUUUUCUCAUUAAGUUAUUGCUCACUCAGUAGCUGGCCCUGGCGCCGAGAAGAGAUCAUCAGCUCAGCUCCGUCCGUGCCAGCCCCAGGGACAAGUGUAGCCAGCGAUUGUUGCAGGUUUUGCAGCAGAGGGUAGUAGUACUGGUUGCGUGGCUGUGGGCCCGUGGGUGGGCCAAUGGUUACCAAGAAAUACAGUGCUCCUUUCGUUUUUAAAAUAUAAAACGUUGUAGUUUUAUUCUAGGUAAAAAAAAGUGUGAUGGUUUAUAGAAAAAUAUACUAACAUCAAUAAAUUUAAAAUGGUUUUAUUACAUUUUUCAUUGUAUGCUCCAUCCGAUAUUAGUUCCUUGAACUAAAACCACGACAAGAAUUUACGAUCGAAGUGAGUUUCUUAAUAUUUUUAUCGGAUAUUAUAUAUUUUACUAUAUUUUUUCUAUAAAUUUGCAAUGAACACAUAUUACUUACGCCAAAUUAAGUUAGAGCAUCUUGUAUUUAGGAGCGGAGGUAAUAAUUUUUUUGUGAGCAUAGUGUUGUACUGUUUUGCAUUAAUCACGUGAUUAGAAACGAUUUAAUCAAAUUAGGUUCCGUUAAAUGGCUUAUCGUCCUGUUGAUGAUUUAUUUCCUUUGGGCUAUGGCGCCGCUACUUGACUACUUAAUUCGAGUGUUGUUUUGCACCGAUCGUAUGGUUAGCAACAUAGGUUUAUUUAUUACUAGCUCCUUGAAAUAUUUUGUUCUAUUAUAUCUUUGACCAUUGGCUAACAUGGGUUGUCUCGUGCUAUGCUAUUGCGCUAUUUGAUUGAUUUCGUUGUGUCAAUAGCAACAUUUUUUGGACAAAAAAAUGCAUUCUUAUUGAAAUCCUCUUGUCUAUCAAUCGGCUGCGGUUCAGGUCAAAUUAAGAUACAAUGACCGGAGAAACAUGAGAGUGUAGUGGAAGGAAGCAAGAAGUUGAGCAAUGUUGAUUUACUCCCUUUGUUUCACAGUGUAAGAUGUUCUAACUCUGUCCUAAGUCAAAAUUUUAAAGUUUGACUAAGUUUUUAGACAAAUGUACCAACAUCUACAAAUCUCAGUUCGGUAUAUAAAAUUUGUUAUGAUAUAUUUCUUCAUAGUAUACUUAUUAGAUGUAUAGAUACUAGAUAUUUUCCAUAUUCUGAAGCACGGAGUAGUUCCAUCAACUACCGACUUGUUUUUUUGUGUCUUUUUUUCAACUCUUGGAACUUUAAAAUAAUUUUGGUAUUCUAUUUUCGGAGGCAGAGGUCGAAGGGGUAAAUCUCUUUCAUUAUCUUAGAAGACACAUGGCCGACCCCAUACGCAUGAUCUUGGCCUAACAUGAUACAAGUUGCCAUGAACAUGACUCGACGACUUAUCGAUCUUGCAUACUUUGUGAAUUUUUAUCUGCUCAAGGCACCAUUGAUUCCAAUAGAACACAUGAUCACAAAACAAGCUCAAGAAGCAUGCAACGGGAACACAAUAUAUUAAAAGAUAACCUCCUCGACUUAUUUCCCCAAAUACGUGCCCAGGUGAUUCUGGUGACACUUACAUGCAUAGAAGAAAUCAUUUAAACUUUGAAUGGUUUAUAGUGACAAGUUAUCAAAGUGAUUGAAAAUUAGUUCUGAAACAGAAAAAUCAUUUAAACUUGAAUAAUAUCCUUAUAAAUAUGCAAGAUUGACAAAAAUGUAAUCAAAGAAAAACAAGAGAUAGGGAAUAGGUUUCUUUUCUAUCAUUUUAAAAGUUAAGCAACUUUUAGUGGGUUUUCCGGAGUUCAAAGAACAAUUUUGAGUUUUAAAAAUAAUCAUAUUUAUCAAUAUUUUUAUUUUACAAAUAUUUCUUAAUAUCUUGGAUAAUAAAAUCUAGGUCUUCAAUUUCUUUGCUGAUUUUUCACUUUACUAUAUGUUUGUGUGGCUGAAACCACAUUCUAUAUGCACGUUCUUAGUGAAAUGGCAUUAAAAACCGCCCCUCGGGCUAUUAAUCUGGCCAUUACUUUGACAAAUAUUUGAUAUUUUUGUUAUUGAAGGGUAAAUUUUGUAUGAAUAGUUUAAUUUUCUCUCUAGCAAUGUUUGUGGGGUUACAUAUACCUUUAUUACGACAUAGAUCUGGCUUUAGUGAUUGAUGAAAGAACAUAUAAUAGAUCGACACAACCAAAACGAACAUAAACCACGAAAAUCCUUGAUAAAAUCAAAAGCUCCAUUAUGGUCAUUCAAAGUCAACGUAUCUGGAUUCACCUUUCGAAUCUUGAGGUUUCAUCAUUUAUUCGGUGACAAAAUUGUAUAAUACCAAGCCCGCGCAAGAUGGACUAAAUUCAUAAGUUUUUUAAAGGUCGCAUGAGUUGCCACCUCAGAAAGUGAAACUUAAGAUCGUUGGACGCGUCAUGGUCAAGGACACGCCGCUCGCAAGACAAGAUAUGAAACCGCUCCUACAUCGUUGAAUUGACAAGAAAAAAAUACGAAAAGAGAUCCGUAAGAACCACUGACUCCAUGGAGUAGGCCGUGACACCUACACCAGGCAAGGGCGGGACACAUUCACCAUCCUCAAGAACACACACACCUAACAAGAAAGGUAUGAAAAACUAGACUCCUGAUAUUGAUCCAUGGUUCCCCCCAAUCUCCCAACGCCAGUUCAGCCAUCAGAGACAAGGAAAACCGCCGGAAAUCAAACGAAGACCCAAAGAAAAACUUCCGAGGUCAGCAAGGAAUCUGAUGGGCCAGUUCCAUAUGACCCAUGUCAUGGUAGAUAUGGUCCAAGCCCACUGACUUUUCGUCUAAAAAGAAAUACUUACGAUGGAUGGCUUGUCAGAAAUUACACUAGAUCGAGAUGUAGGAGUACAUCGGUUGACUUGUUCUGCAGAUGGACGGGAAUCCUAACCCCCAACCGAUUCGAAUCUAGAGAAGGACGAGGGAGCGUUGGGUGCUGUAUGUGAUCCAAAGCAGCCCCGGGAGAAAAUUCCUUCUUCUAAAAAUAUAUACUCGUACAAGAAAUUGAUUACAGAAUACACUGUUAACUCUCUACAGUUUAUGUCCAACUCCUCCAGAAUUCAGUUUCACUACUCUGCUAAUAUAUUAAAAUUUACUUACGAAGUAUUACUAGAUAAUGAAUUGGCAAUCCAUUCCAGAAAUUACUCAAUCAGCAGGAGAGCAUUUAGCAGCACUUUUUCAGAAAGCCACACAAACUGAAGCAGUAGUCUCAUCAGAAAUCAGAACGAUCAUGUUUCUUCUGCCCUUGAUAAUUUACACGUACGGUACAUUCGGACUCUCGUACACUUUCCCGGUAAAAUUAACACAGCACAUCAUGCUGCAUUGCACGCACGCAUGCAGCUGAUCAUCGACAAGUCGACGGCAAUUGCGAUGAAGAGCUCACAGGCUGGGCGUCCUCUCGGCAGCUCCGGAGAUGACGGUGAGCAGGUUGUUGCCGAAGGGGUCGCUGAGGUGCGCAGAGAGGUUCUCAACGGGGCCCUCGCCAGUGACGUAUGCCUGGAUGAAGAAACCCAGCAUGGAGAACAUGGCUAGCCGGCCGUUCUUGAUCUCCUUCACCUUGAGCAGCGCCGCCUGGUCGGGGUCGCUGGCGAGGCCGAGCGGGUCGAAUGGGCCACCGGGGUGGAGCUUGUCCUCAAGAUCCUGCCGGAGAAAUUGAUGAAAACCGUUGGUCAGUACAAAGUUCCUAAUUGCAGCUCAACUUAUGUAUAUGUUUGAGGUGUUACUGUCACUGACAAGGCCGUUGAUGAUCCUGUAGUACUCGGCGCCUCCGACGAGGACAACCUCGGCGACGACGGCGAGGAUGAGGUUGAUGGGGAUGCUGUUGCCGAAGUAGUUGAGGGUGUUGCCGUCCAGGAGAAGAGCGCCGGUCUGCAUAUGUGUUUGUUCAUGGCACCGUGAGUUUAAACUUCAGAGUUCUGAAUCUGAAUCUGAAUGUGUGAAUACUGAUGAGCAAUUAC